AUUGAACGCUGGCGGCAUGCUUUACACAUGCAAGUCGAACGGUAACAGGGUGCUUGCACCGCUGACGAGUGGCGAACGGGUGAGUAAUGCGUCGGAACGUGCCGAGUAGUGGGGGAUAACGCAGCGAAAGUUGUGCUAAUACCGCAUACGUACUGAGGUAGAAAGUGGGGGACCUUCGGGCCUCACGCGAUUCGAGCGGCCGACGUCUGAUUAGCUAGUAGGUGAGGUAAAGGCUCACCUAGGCGACGAUCAGUAGCGGGUCUGAGAGGAUGAUCCGCCACACUGGGACUGAGACACGGCCCAGACUCCUACGGGAGGCAGCAGUGGGGAAUUUUGGACAAUGGGCGAAAGCCUGAUCCAGCCAUGCCGCGUGUCUGAAGAAGGCCUUCGGGUUGUAAAGGACUUUUGUCAGGGAGGAAAUCCCUAGCGUUAAUACCGCUGGGGGAUGACAGUACCUGAAGAAUAAGCACCGGCUAACUACGUGCCAGCCGCCGCGGUAA
Molecule: ribosomal RNA, 500 nt
Filed under: uncultured bacterium
Lineage: Bacteria
Description: partial 16S ribosomal RNA
Rfam family: Bacterial small subunit ribosomal RNA
Source: RNAcentral